Molecule: ribosomal RNA, 443 nt
Filed under: uncultured bacterium
Lineage: Bacteria
Description: partial 16S ribosomal RNA
Rfam family: Bacterial small subunit ribosomal RNA
Source: RNAcentral
CCUACGGGAGGCAGCAGUGGGGAAUAUUGGGCAAUGGGCGCAAGCCUGACCCAGCAACGCCGCGUGAAGGAAGAAGGCUUUCGGGUUGUAAACUUCUUUUGUCAGGGACGAAGCAAGUGACGGUACCUGACGAAUAAGCCACGGCUAACUACGUGCCAGCAGCCGCGGGAAUACGGAGGUGGCAAGCGUUAUCCGGAUUUACUGGGUGUAAGGGGCGAGUAGGCGGGAUUGCAAGUCAGAUGUGAAAACCACGGGGUCAACCUAUAGCCUGCAUUUGAAACUGGAAUUCUUGAGUACAGGGGAGGCAGACGGAAUUCCUAGUGUAGCGGUGAAAUGCGUAGAUAUUAGGAGGAACACCAGUGGCGAAGGCGGUCUGCUGGACAGCAACUGACGCUGAGGCGCGAAAGCGUGGGGAGCAAACAGGAUUAGAUACCCGGGUAGUC